AGAGUUUGAUCCUGGCUCAGGAUGAACGCUAGCUACAGGCUUAACACAUGCAAGUCGAGGGGCAGCAUGGUCUUAGCUUGCUAAGGCCGAUGGCGACCGGCGCACGGGUGAGUAACACGUAUCCAACCUGCCGUCUACUCUUGGACAGCCUUCUGAAAGGAAGAUUAAUACAAGAUGGCAUCAUGAGUCCGCAUGUUCACAUGAUUAAAGGUAUUCCGGUAGACGAUGGGGAUGCGUUCCAUUAGAUAGUAGGCGGGGUAACGGCCCACCUAGUCUUCGAUGGAUAGGGGUUCUGAGAGGAAGGUCCCCCACAUUGGAACUGAGACACGGUCCAAACUCCUACGGGAGGCAGCAGUGAGGAAUAUUGGUCAAUGGGCGAGAGCCUGAACCAGCCAAGUAGCGUGAAGGAUGACUGCCCUAUGGGUUGUAAACUUCUUUUAUAAAGGAAUAAAGUCGGGUAUGCAUACCCGUUUGCAUGUACUUUAUGAAUAAGGAUCGGCUAACUCCGUGCCAGCAGCCGCGGUAAUACGGAGGAUCCGAGCGUUAUCCGGAUUUAUUGGGUUUAAAGGGAGCGUAGAUGGAUGUUUAAGUCAGUUGUGAAAGUUUGCGGCUCAACCGUAAAAUUGCAGUUGAUACUGGAUAUCUUGAGUGCAGUUGAGGCAGGCGGAAUUCGUGGUGUAGCGGUGAAAUGCUUAGAUAUCACGAAGAACUCCGAUUGCGAAGGCAGCCUGCUAAGCUGCAACUGACAUUGAGGCCCGAAAGUGUGGGUAUCAAACAGGAUUAGAUACCCUGGUAGUCCACACGGUAAACGAUGAAUACUCGCUGUUUGCGAUAUACAGCAAGCGGCCAAGCGAAAGCGUUAAGUAUUACACCUGGGGAGUACGCCGGCAACGGUGAAACUCAAAGGAAUUGACGGGGGCCCGCACAAGCGGAGGAACAUGUGGUUUAAUUCGAUGAUACGCGAGGAACCUUACCCGGGCUUAAAUUGCAGAUGAAUUACGGUGAAAGCCGUAAGCCGCAAGGCAUCUGUGAAGGUGCUGCAUGGUUGUCGUCAGCUCGUGCCGUGAGGUGUCGGCUUAAGUGCCAUAACGAGCGCAACCCUUGUUGUCAGUUACUAACAGGUUCUGCUGAGGACUCUGACAAGACUGCCAUCGUAAGAUGUGAGGAAGGUGGGGAUGACGUCAAAUCAGCACGGCCCUUACGUCCGGGGCUACACACGUGUUACAAUGGGGGGUACAGAGGGCCGCUACCACGCGAGUGGAUGCCAAUCCCCAAAACCUCUCUCAGUUCGGACUGGAGUCUGCAACCCGACUCCACGAAGCUGGAUUCGCUAGUAAUCGCGCAUCAGCCACGGCGCGGUGAAUACGUUCCCGGGCCCUGUACACACCGCCCGUCAAGCCAUGGGAGCCGGGGGUACCUGAAGUGCGUAACCGCGAGGAGCGCCCUAGGGUAAAACUGGUGACUGGGGCUAAAGUCGUAACAAGGUA
Molecule: ribosomal RNA, 1487 nt
Filed under: metagenome
Description: bacterial SSU rRNA
Rfam family: Bacterial small subunit ribosomal RNA
Source: RNAcentral